UAAUUAUAAGAUCCUUUUGAGAAUUUUUUUUGUCCCUUUUUAUAAGACUCACUUGCUAUUUCCACCUACAUUAAUUAUUUAUUUACAUACAUGCCCCUAUUAAUUAUACAUAUUUUUCUUCAAUCAACAAUAAAUAACAAUGUUGAAAACAUAAACCAUCUUUCUCUUAAAGGAUAAAAUUGUAAAAACAAUACUAAUUACAAACAUAUUUAAUACAAAU
Molecule: long non-coding RNA, 220 nt
Filed under: Medicago truncatula (barrel medic)
Lineage: Eukaryota; Viridiplantae; Streptophyta; Magnoliopsida; Fabales; Fabaceae
Description: long non-coding RNA (MTRU_LNC002641)
Source: RNAcentral